This 355-nucleotide unclassified non-coding RNA is filed under the name uncultured fungus. Its description in RNAcentral is "partial contains 5.8S ribosomal RNA and internal transcribed spacer 2". The stretch from base 1 to 133 matches the Rfam family "5.8S ribosomal RNA", at positions 22 to 154 of the family's 154-position model. The record is from RNAcentral. Lineage: Eukaryota; Fungi.
UGGCUCUCGCAUCGAUGAAGAACGCAGCGAAAUGCGAUAAGUAAUGUGAAUUGCAGAAUUCAGUGAAUCAUCGAAUCUUUGAACGCACCUUGCGCUCCUUGGUAUUCCGAGGAGCAUGCCUGUUUGAGUGUCAUCGGUAUUCUCAAAUCUCCCUGUUUGAGUACAGGUAGCUUUGGACUUGGAGGUUUAUUUUGCCAGUGUUUCUUCACUCUGGCUCCUCUGAAAUGUAUUAGCUUGAUUUCCAAGCAUGAUUCAGCGUGAUAAUCAUCUACGUUGUAUUUCUGUAUGGGUGGUUUUAAGCUUCGAACCUCAUCUUGAAACAUUUGACCUCAAAUCAGGUAGGACUACCCGCUGA